GCUGCCCUGGCUGCCUACCACCUCCUGAAUCGGACGCUUUGCUCCCUGGAAAAAUCUGGAUGUGCCAGGASAACCCUCAGCAGCCAAGGCAGCUCCCCCAGCCCCAGGAGUCUUCCUAACCAGCUCCCAGGGGCGAGUUGGAAUGGCUUUGCCCAUCUCCGUGAAUCCCGCGUGCUGGGGCAGCCAAGAUGAAAUUAUAUGGAGAGGCUUAUUUGAAACCUUAUCGUAGGUGGGACACGUCAUCGCUGGCCUCCACCGGUGAAGGUCCUCUGCAGGGAGAAAUGUGCUGACAUGGAAAAGAUCAUCAAGUAGCCUUCCAUGAAGGCGUUUUGAAAGGCACCCGGG
This 345-nucleotide long non-coding RNA is filed under the name Urocitellus parryii (Arctic ground squirrel). Its description in RNAcentral is "lncRNA (ENSUPAG00010020292.1)". Lineage: Eukaryota; Metazoa; Chordata; Mammalia; Rodentia; Sciuridae. The record is from RNAcentral.